Macadamia integrifolia is the source of this 766-nucleotide long non-coding RNA. RefSeq lists it as uncharacterized. The record is from RefSeq and is a predicted model, not a curated record. The transcript has 3 exons. NCBI's taxonomy places the organism in Eukaryota, Viridiplantae, Streptophyta, Magnoliopsida, Proteales, Proteaceae.
AUAAACAAAAACAAAGGAAGAUGUUGUAACUGUUAUAUAUUUUAUUUUGGAACUUUAUUCUCAUGUAAUUUUUUAUGGCAUAGGUACCUCUGCUUGGCGGAGCAUUUUGUGCAUGCACAUGGCAUUUCUUCUAUAACUCUGAGUCCCUUGAGGUGCUGGUGGCCCUGCAAGCAGCACUGACUGUUGUUGGUAACUUCACAAUGUGCAUUGCAGCAUUUCGUAUAUACAAAUCUUGUCAACAAGGUUCAGGAACUCGAUAAUAUAUAUUAUCAUGGGGUUUUUUCUUUAUUUCCUGGGACAAAUCCAUAAUCAUUUGCCCUUGGGUCACUCGGCAAGGAAGUAGGAAACGGUGGAGGCAAAGUUGAAGCUUUCUUAUUGGUGAUCAGAAAUGGAUCCGCCAAUGAGUAGAAGUUGAGUGUAUCGGAUGGGUACUCCUUGAAAGGGAAAUUUAUUGUGUUAAUAAUUUCUGUAGUUAGGCAAGCUGUGGAUCCUGAUUCAUAGCCAUGGCUCAAUAUCAAUUAUGAAAUGUUUCGCAAUGCUUAGAGUCCAAGGAAAUUAUUAUCUUCAAUUUAAAGUUGGAUGGGGUGGAUGGAUGGUCAAUGCCAGCAGGUAGGAGCUGUUCUGUAUUGUAAAAAUAUGAAAUCUCACGGUAGGAACAGUGACUUUUUCAACCUGGUAAAUUGACAGUUAGCCCACCACUUGUAAUAUUAUACUUAUUUAAGGCUUUGUGUUAAUAAUCAUGUGAUGCUGCAGCCUAUUUAGACUU